This is an RNA transcript of Cavia porcellus (domestic guinea pig), 5525 nucleotides long. It is a transcript of the gene named CD46 molecule, with no coding region annotated. The record is from RefSeq and is marked validated. NCBI's taxonomy places the organism in Eukaryota, Metazoa, Chordata, Mammalia, Rodentia, Caviidae. The transcript is spliced from 12 exons.
UUUCUUAUGCGCAUACAGUAUACAGCGUCAGUAUUAACUGUUCAGGGCAAGGGCCCCAUAGGGUCCCAGAAUGCUAAUGACCUGGCGAUGCCUAGUAAUUUACCUUACCCUGCGCCUCUCAUGGGAGGAAAAGGAAAAACAAGCUAACUGGAGAACGCCGUGGUCAAGCCUUUCAGAUUUCGGAAACUGCGACAGAAGGAAAACUCAGCAGCUUUCAUGCAAGAAAAACUCAAGCUAUUGCCCCAAAUGAUGCCUGACCGAAGCAGACCCGGAGUUAAGGACCCGGUCGUGUGGCCGCCUGGGUUAAGCGGAGCCACUGCUACAACCUUGAGUCUCUGCUUUUAGGUUGCUGGUUUGCUUUAACCCGAGCCCCGGAAAUGAUGACAAGGCCAGCGUUGCUUGUUCACUCCUCCUGGCUGAGGUGAUAGCCUGCUUGUAGCCACCAAGGCCUUCCCUGGCCGUCGGGGCGGCCUGCGCAGAACACAGCCCGGCCUCAGGGAGCCUAAGGCGGGAGCGGCGCCACAAGGGGUCCGUAGCCGGGGUCAGCUCCUAGUCCCAGACAGCCACACCGAGGCCCCGCCCACCACGUCAAGGUCCCGCCCUACCCUCCUAGGACUGGUCCGUCCCAGUCAGGGCCCCGCCCUGCCUCCUGUCAAUUGGUCCAUCACUCUCCGCCUCAGGACACUUCUCGGCCCUGGCCACGCCCACCUGCUGUGUGGCCCUUCACACUCUGUGAGUUUGGGAUUGUUGCGUCUGGACAAGUGGGCACAAAAGGGACAACUUUGCGCUGCCGGCGCUCAGUUUCCUGCGCAUCUCCAGCAACAUGACGGCGUCUUCCACCCGGUGCAUGGCGCCUCCUCUCCACGGCGAGAGUCGCGCUGCUAGCUGGUGGCGCAUCCUGGGCGCCUGUCUGCUGGCUGCAGUGUUUCUGCUGGCCGCCUCCUCCGAUGCCUGUGUGCUGCCACCACCAUUUGAAGCUAUGGAGCCUAUAAAUCCUAAGCCCUACUAUGAAAUUGGGGAAAAAGUAGAGUAUAGAUGUAAAAAAGGAUACCUUCGUCAGCCUUUUUAUCUCAUGGUUGCUACCUGUGAGAAGAAUCACUCGUGGGUUCCUAUUACAGAUGACGGUUGUAUAAAAAAGCAAUGCACAUAUCUAAACCCUCCUCCAAAGGGCAGAGUAGAAUACAUAAAUGGAACUCGCACAUGGGGUGAUAUAGUUCACUUUUCUUGUGUUGAGGGUUUUUAUGUAUCUGGUAUUGCAGCACUAAGUUGUGAGCUUAGAGGAGAUAACGUGGAUUGGAAUGGCAGGGUUCCCACAUGUGAAAAAGUUCUGUGUUCACCACCUCCAAAAAUACAGAACGGAAAAUACACCUUUAGUGAUGUACAAGUAUUUGAAUAUUUUGAAGCAGUAACUUAUAGUUGUGAUGCUGUCCAGGGACCAGAUAAACUUUCACUUGUUGGAAACGAAGUGCUCUACUGUGCAGGCCAUCAAAAAUGGAGCAGCGCAGCUCCUGAAUGUAAAGUGGUCAAAUGUCCACUUCCAGUAGUUAAGAAUGGAAAACAGAUAUCAGGACUUGGACAAACAUUUUUCUACCAAGCCACAGUUACAUUUCAGUGCCUCCCAGGUUUCUACUUCAAUGGCAGCAGCACAGUUGUCUGUGGCAGUGACAAUACGUGGAAACCCUCUAUCCCAGAAUGUCUUAAAGGUCCCAAGCCUACUCAUCCCACCAAGCCGCCAGUUUAUAAUUAUCCAGGAUAUCCCAACCCCAGAGAAGGAAUAUUUGACCAAGAAUUAAAUUUAUGGAUCAUUAUUCUGCUUAUUCUUAUUGCAGUUGUCGGAUUGGCUCUGAUACUCCUUUGUGCGUGCAGAUUCUUUGAACGCAAGAAGAAAAGCAUAAUUCUGAUGACAGCUACAAAGAAGUAAAAUUUACUUCUCUCUAAAAAGAGAUAAGAGAAAAGUCUGCCUUAUCAUUAAAAAGGAAAGAACAGGUCCGGGUUCAAUAUACCCGACUAUUCCAGCAGGGUAAACUGCCUGCUUUCCACCAGCCGGGCCUGAGUUUGUCCUUGGGUUCUGCUAAAGCCAUGGGCCCUUUCUUUUCUCAAUGUCAGGAUCCAGACGGAAGUUCCUGCAGUGUGCACGCAGCCCCAUCCGCGCGUGUGUGUGUGUGUGUGUGUGUGUGUGUGUGUGUGUGUGAGAGAGAGAGAGAGAGAGAGAGAGUGGUGCCUGCCCCCCCCCCAGUGCCUCCACCUAAGGGCAGGUCUACCAGUGUCGCUAACGGUCUUCAGGAGAGGAAGUCAUGUAUUUUAUAAAAUGUGGCUUCUUUGGAAAAACAUACAGCCGUUCGCAAUGAAAUUAAUUUCCUUUAUAAAGAAAGUGAUGCUGACAUCUUUAUAAUGCCACACCUUAAGACGCUGCCUUUCAGCAGUGUUAAUACCCAUUUUCUGUAUCAUUGUUAAAGCCUUUACAAACGUGUAUGACUCCCACAGCACCUGUUCACUGAAAACAAGAGCGUAGAAAACUGGGAAUGUGGACACAUUUCACCACCUCAACCAAUGAUAUUCCUGGAAAGUUAUCUAAACAUUAGUUUUGUCUUUUGGAGACAGGGUCUCACUGUGCAGUUCGGGCUGGCUGUGAGCUCACUUUGUAGUGCAGUCUGGUCCCAAACUUGUAAUGAUCUUCCUGCCUCAGCCUCUCGAGUGCUGGGAUUACAGGCAUGCACCACCACACUCGCUUUAGCUAAACUUCAGUAAGGUAAACCAUUUAUUGGUAACUCUUCUGGUGAUCUAAGGAAGCUAGAAAGUGCAUGUAUGACAUGCAUUUUUACUUUUUCUUGGUAGCAUCAGUCAGCUAGAAUUAGAAGUCAGUGAGAUACCAGAACGAGUUACAUACAUGAGUAAGAAAUUAGAGGACUCUACCAUCCACAGCAAGAGUGGCAGUGUACGGUACCAGGUAAACUCUGUACCCUUACAGUUUUCUUAAAGAGAGGUCUGUCUGUUCAAUAAUGCACUCCAAGUUCUGGCUACUUUGUGCUUUCUCUCCUUACACAGAAAUGUCUUCCCUUAAACAUGUUUUGUGGCGAAUAAAUUCAUCAUGUAACUCAAGCAAUGUCAAACCUCAGUCCAUGCGCUAAGGGAGUCUCUUGCAUACCUCACCUGACUCUUAAGAGGCAGAGCAUAAAUCAAGUCACACUUUUCAGAGAAGGGACUUCAUCUGUUUACUGUGGGUUCUAGCAGAGCUCCCCCUACCCUGGCCCACAUCCCAGGCUCAGCAGGUGACCUCCCUUUGAAACCUGUGGUUGGAUAUUUAGGGAAGUAAUCUUUAAGCAGAAAUAAAGAGAAAUUCUGAAUUAAGAGUUAAAGUGCAUAUCCAUUUUCACUAUCUCUCAAGAAUGUAGCAAUUAUUCAGCAGGAAUGGUUGUACCUAAUUUUUUAAGCCUAAUGAACUAUUUUCAAUUUAAAUAUUUUUAUGAUUAAAAUAAAUUUAAAUUUAUGUUUCUGCUUCAUAUUUAGUGUUUUCAGUUUAAUAUUUAAAUUUGCAAUUUAUGUGUAAAUAUAUAUAUUCUUUUUUGUCAGGUAAUUUGUAAAACUUAAAAUUGUGUGGAGAGGCUUCAUUUGACUGAAUACACUUGUGCAGAUACUGUGUUUAUCCCAAGUCAGAAUCUGUUUCUAAUGAGAGCCCUCUCUCACCCCACCAUUCCCACCACUCCUGGUCCUGGCAACCUGGCCUUUGUGUGCCCAGGGGUUCCCUGCCCCGUCUGGCAGCCUCUUUCCUGUUGAGUGAUCCCUCAUCUGCAGGGUGGGGUCUAAAAUUCCUCACGUGAACUUGACCUUCUACAAUGAAACCCUUUCUUCCCAAGCCUUUCUUUCUGCUAAAUUUCUUCAAAUAGCCUUCUCUUGGUCAAGCUAAACCAUCUGCCCCAUGCUUUCUGCUAUAUUCCCAGUCCCUGUUGCUUGAAAUACCUUUUAUCUUCUCUAGAAUUGUGCAUCUUCCAAGGAUCAUCUCAGAUAGGACCAGGUGCCUGCCGCUUCACCUGGCUGCUCACCAGACUACAGGACUAUAACCUAAUCACGAGUUAGCUAAGUUGAAGUAUCUAACAAAAGCUGGCCCAUCUGCGUCUCAUAAACACAUACAGUGCAAAAUUAAAAAAAAAAAAAGUCCCAACAAUGAAAGCAUAAAGUCUGAUUUGUGUAACUAAUGGGAUGUGGGUUUGUUCACACAAAACAUCAUUCUGGCUGUCUUUGCAGACUGGAAUCAGACUGCUGAGGCUAUCAGAUGAGGCCCUGUGUUCCUCAGCCAUCGCUGUGCACUGCAGCCACUGGGGAAUUUUACUGACACCUGGGUCUGCACGCAAGGGUACACAGCUAACUAACUGAUCUGGGAUGUGGCCCAGUCAUCAGGCUGUGUGUCCCAGGUGGCUGCACUGUACAGCUGAAGUUGAGAAUCUCCGCAUUAGAAAUUCUCAUGCACAAUGGUCAGUUUCUUCAAAUAAACUUAAAGAGGGAGGAAGGGAAAGGCUUCUACUCCCCUCCACCAAAAAAAAAAUCAUAGUUUAAUUCUACCUGUCAAAUGAGAAAAUUUUAAAGAGUGGAGGUCUUGCUAACUAAAUGUGCUUUAAAACUACAGAAGAAACCUUUUUAAUAUCAAGGUUGGACGGCAACUAUAUUAAAUAUGAACAAGGAAAUCAUUUUAGAAAAUGUUAUUUGACCUUGAGACUUUUUUUUUUUCCUUUUCAAUUGCCAAAAAGUCGAGGGAAUGCUUUUAAGGUAAUUGACAGGGUCUUUUGCUAGAAUGCGGAAAAGACCUGGGAUUGGAAGGAAUUUAAAUUGACAUCUUAAAGUAGAUUUUUCAGGCUUAAGGGUACAGGACAGUAUGGGGUAUUGUCAGGCAGCAGCUAACAUUUUAACCAAGAAUGAAGUUUUUUGUGUAUUUUAAGAAUUUUCAUACUUGUAUUUAAGGAUUUAGCAACGUCUACUGACUCCUAGGAUUGCUGUGGAAUUGACUGCACUAUGUUCCUAAACUACUUCCUAAACUAUGUUGCUCUAAGAAUGUCCAGGCUCUCAGAAAAAGGGACAUGGAGGAAGGUUAGCCUUUGUAGAGCGUGGCACUGCUGCCCUCCGGUGGACAGUUGGGGGAUUGGACAAUCCCUCCACACUUUUAGAGUUCUCAGUGCUGUGAUUCCAGGAGCCAUUUCUAAGUUCAUUUUGGAUCCAGUAUAAAACUAGCCCUCUUCUUCUGCUUCUUAAAAAAGUUUUUAAAAAGAGCUAAACUCUUCCCCUUGAUGCUUAAAUAUAGGGGAACACUGCUGGGUGCGGCAGCACCUGCCUCUAAUUCCAGCAUUCUGGGAGGCGGAGGCAGUUCAGCCCAACCUUGGGGAUGUAGCAACUGGGGAAGAUCAACGCUUGAAAUGUCACUUGAUGCAAAGGCCCUGGGUUGAAGUCACCCCCAAAUACCAAAAAAUAAAAACAGGGUGAACAUAAUAUAAGGGAAGGGUCCUGUGAUCAAUAAAAUGACUUUUUCUUCUUCCUUC